RNAcentral lists this ribosomal RNA (592 nucleotides) under uncultured bacterium. Its description in RNAcentral is "bacterial SSU rRNA". It matches the Rfam family "Bacterial small subunit ribosomal RNA", at positions 8 to 590 of the family's 1533-position model. The record is from RNAcentral.
AGAGUUUGAUCAUGGCUCAGGAUGAACGCUAGCGGCAGGCUUAACACAUGCAAGUCGAGGGGUAACGGAGAAAGCUUGCUUUCAGACGACGACCGGCGCACGGGUGAGUAACGCGUAUGCAACCUACCAAUAACUUGGGGAUAGCCCGGAGAAAUUCGGAUUAAUACCCAAUAAUAUUUUAAGAAGGCAUCUUCUUAAUCUUAAAGUUCCGACGGUUAUUGAUGGGCAUGCGUAGCAUUAGAUUGUUGGUGAGGUAACGGCUCACCAAAUUGUCGAUGAUGCUUAGGGGGUCUUAAAGGAUGGUCCCCCACACUGGUACUGAGACACGGACCAGACUCCUACGGGAGGCAGCAGUGAGGAAUAUUGGUCAACGGAGGCAACUCUGAACCAGCCAUGCCGCGUGCAGGAUGACGGUCCUAUGGAUUGUAAACUGCUUUUGUACGGGAAGAAACCUGAUUACGUGUAAUCAGCUGACGGUACCGUAAGAAUAAGGAUCGGCUAACUCCGUGCCAGCAGCCGCGGUAAUACGGAGGAUCCAAGCGUUAUCCGGAUUUAUUAGGUUUAAAGGGUGCGCAGGCGGAAAGAUAAGUCA